UACGAAGGGGGCUAGCGUUGCUCGGAAUCACUGGGCGUAAAGGGUGUGUAGGCGGGCCAUUAAGUCAGGGGUGAAAUCCCGGAGCUCAACUCCGGAACUGCCUUUGAUACUAUUGGUCUUGAAUGUUGUUGAGGUGGGCGGAACGGGUCAUGUAGCGGUGAAAUGCAUAGAUAUGACCCGGAACACCGAUUGCGAAGGCAGCCCGCUAAGCAACUAUUGACGCUGAGGCACGAAAGCGUGGGGAUCAAACAGG
RNAcentral lists this ribosomal RNA (253 nucleotides) under uncultured bacterium. RNAcentral describes it as "partial 16S ribosomal RNA". It matches the Rfam family "Bacterial small subunit ribosomal RNA", at positions 524 to 776 of the family's 1533-position model. The record is from RNAcentral.